AGGACGAACGCUGGCGGCGUGCUUAACACAUGCAAGUCGAGCGGAAAGGCCCUUCGGGGUACUCGAGCGGCGAACGGGUGAGUAACACGUGAGCAACCUGCCCUUAGCUCUGGGAUAGCUCCGGGAAACCGGAAUUAAUACCGGAUACGACCUAGGCCGACAUCGGCCAUGGUGGAAAGUUUUUCGGCUAGGGAUGGACUCGCGGCCUAUCAGCUAGUUGGUGGGUAAAGGCCUACCAAGGCGACGACGGGUAG
Molecule: ribosomal RNA, 254 nt
Filed under: uncultured bacterium
Lineage: Bacteria
Description: partial small subunit ribosomal RNA
Rfam family: Bacterial small subunit ribosomal RNA
Source: RNAcentral